This 465-nucleotide ribosomal RNA is filed under the name uncultured bacterium. RNAcentral describes it as "partial 16S ribosomal RNA". It matches the Rfam family "Bacterial small subunit ribosomal RNA", at positions 338 to 795 of the family's 1533-position model. The record is from RNAcentral.
CCUACGGGAGGCAGCAGUGGGGAAUAUUGCGCAAUGGGCGAAAGCCUGACGCAGCGACGCCGCGUGAGGGAUGAAGGUCUUCGGAUCGUAAACCUCUGUCAGCAGGGAAGAACGGUCACUGUGCUAAUCAGCAGUGAAUUGACGGUACCUGCAAAGGAAGCACCGGCUAACUCCGUGCCAGCAGCCGCGGUAAUACGGAGGGUGCGAGCGUUAAUCGGAAUUACUGGGCGUAAAGCGCUCGUAGGCGGUAUGUCAAGUCAAGGGUGAAAUCCCCGCGCUCAACGUGGGAACUGCCUUUGAAACUGGCAAACUGGAGUGUGUGAGAGGAUAGUGGAAUUCCAGGUGUAGGGGUGAAAUGCGUAGAUAUCUGGAGGAACAUCAGUGGCGAAGGCGACUAUCUGGCACAUAACUGACGCUGAGGAGCGAAAGCGUGGGUAGCAAACAGGAUUAGAUACCCUGGUAGUC